RNAcentral lists this ribosomal RNA (205 nucleotides) under Klebsiella pneumoniae. RNAcentral describes it as "partial 23S ribosomal RNA". It matches the Rfam family "Bacterial large subunit ribosomal RNA", at positions 2738 to 2925 of the family's 2925-position model. Lineage: Bacteria; Pseudomonadati; Pseudomonadota; Gammaproteobacteria; Enterobacterales; Enterobacteriaceae. The record is from RNAcentral.
CUGCCCGGUAGCUAAAUGCGGAAGAGAUAAGUGCUGAAAGCAUCUAAGCACGAAACUUGCCCCGAGAUGAGUUCUCCCUGAGACUUUAAGUCUCCUGAAGGAACGUUAAAGACGAUGACGUUGAUAGGCCGGGUGUGUAAGCGCAGCGAUGCGUUGAGCUAACCGGUACUAAUGAACCGUGAGGCUUAACCUUACAACGCCGAAG